This 261-nucleotide ribosomal RNA is filed under the name uncultured bacterium. RNAcentral describes it as "partial 16S ribosomal RNA". It matches the Rfam family "Bacterial small subunit ribosomal RNA", at positions 337 to 590 of the family's 1533-position model. The record is from RNAcentral.
GCCUACGGGGCGCAGCAGUAGGGAAUCUUCCACAAUGGACGAAAGUCUGAUGGAGCAACGCCGCGUGAGUGAAGAAGGGUUUCGGCUCGUAAAGCUCUGUUGGGAGUGAAGAAAGAUAGAGGUAGUAACUGGCCUUUAUUUGACGGUAAUUACUUAGAAAGUCACGGCUAACUACGUGCCAGCAGCCGCGGUAAUACGUAGGUGGCAAGCGGUGUCCGGAUUUAUUGGGCGUAAAGCGAGCGCAGGCGGUUGAAUAAGGCU